CCACUUCUCAAGAGUCCCACAAUAGGACGAAACGAUCGUCCAGUGC
Non-coding RNA from Schistosoma mattheei, 46 nucleotides. NCBI's taxonomy places the organism in Eukaryota, Metazoa, Platyhelminthes, Trematoda, Strigeidida, Schistosomatidae. The record is from Rfam.